Molecule: long non-coding RNA, 457 nt
Filed under: Gallus gallus (chicken)
Lineage: Eukaryota; Metazoa; Chordata; Aves; Galliformes; Phasianidae
Source: RNAcentral
UGGAAAACCCAUUUGCAGAGAUGCCUCCUCAGCAUGGGAACCAGAGCGGGCUCGUUUUGCUGUCAAGCUCACAUUUUUGGCUUGGAAGGGCCAGCUUUCCUCAUGCUGGCGAGCGGCAGCCAGCUGCAGAACUGGCCAGGGAGGAUCUGAUGAAACACCGUGCUGAGAAGCUCCAGCUCAUCACAAUCGAAACUGCAAGAAAGCACAGGGCUCACUGAAUGCCUUAUCAAGAGAAUUCCUGUGGCAUGUAUGUACACGCAUAGGGCUGUGUGUGAUCCCGUGCUAGCUGGCAGCCCGCUGCUAAGAAGGUGCAUUUGACACAGUAGAGAUGUCUUUUCUUCUUGGGGGAAAGCUACAUUGGUUUGAGCUUUUUGCAUUUGCAAAAGUAGAGGUUGGUUUUGUUGUUGGUUUUGUUUUUUUUUUUUUUUUUUUCCACCCAGACGAGGUUUUACAGCUC